This is a non-coding RNA of Cinara cedri, 320 nucleotides long. The record is from the annotation of a GenBank genome assembly. Lineage: Eukaryota; Metazoa; Arthropoda; Insecta; Hemiptera; Aphididae.
AAAAAAAAUUAAAACAUGCAAUAAUCACAACUUUUUUUUGUUUAUGUUUUUUAAUUCUAUAUUUACUUAACCAGACCUUAAAACCGAUAAAAACCGGCAAUUUUCCGGAAUUCGGGAACCUAAAUCGACUUACCGUUAUUUUAUGCAGGUUUUUAUAUUGAUUAUCCAAUAUAUCUAUAUUAAACUGAUUAUCGGUUACCGUGAUGAUUAACAGUUAACGGUUAAUUCAGUUAACGGAAAACGUAAUAAAAACAUAAAAUAAAUUAACCGCUCAAGAACCGAUAUUUUUUAAUUGCCGAUUACCAUUGUCCGUCUACUCG